AUAUCAAAUAUGCUCAUUUAGCGUUCUUUUAAAUAUAUCCCUACAAUUAGAUUCUACUGUAAGAAAUAACUGUUAUCCCUAUGAAAUUAUUAUUUUGUCCUCUCAAAUACACCCAUCUCAUCACCAAUAUUUAUUAUUAACUGUUAUCCCUAUGAAAUUAUUAUUUUGCCCUCUCAAAUACACCCAUCUCAUCACCAAUAUUUAUUAUUUNUAAAUAUAUCCCUACAAUUAGAUUCUACUGUAAGAAAUAACUGUUAUCCCUAUGAAAUUAUUAUUUUGUCCUCUCAAAUACACCCAUCUCAUCACCAAUAUUUAUUAUUAACUGUUAUCCCUAUGAAAUUAUUAUUUUGCCCUCUCAAAUACACCCAUCUCAUCACCAACAUUUAUUAUUUACUGGUAAGUUUUUUUUUUUUUUUUAGAGAGAGAGAUAUAGGUAGCAUGCUACCGCUUCGUUUAUUUUAUUUAGAAAUAAACUUAGCUGAAAAUGUGAAUCAACUAGGAUUCGAACUUGGGUCUCGAAUACCAACCACCAAGACCUUUGCCACUUGCUCUAGGAACAGUUGGUUUAUUUGCCGGUAAGUUAAGAGCAAAAAAAAUAUAUUUUGAUUUUUUCCCUUCCAUAUAUAUCCUUCUACUGUCACUGAUUUUUUUUAAUUUGCUCUUAAGUUAGGAACAAAAGAAGUAUUUUUAGUUUUUUAUUUUUUUAACUCUGAUAGAAAUUUAGGAUUUAACCUAAGAUGAAUACUACCAGCGAGGGUAUUUUUAAAUAACGAAAAAAAUAUAAAAGGUAUAUUGGAACAAAAAAAAAUGAAUAAAUAAAAUAUUUCAGAAGUAUUGAGAGGUAUAUCGGCAAUUAUCCCAUAUCAUAAUACUUUGGUUAU
This 881-nucleotide long non-coding RNA is filed under the name Ananas comosus (pineapple). RNAcentral describes it as "long non-coding RNA (ACOM_LNC010609)". Lineage: Eukaryota; Viridiplantae; Streptophyta; Magnoliopsida; Poales; Bromeliaceae. The record is from RNAcentral.